AUGUUGAUGAUGGUGCAUUUGGUCGAGAGACAGAAAUCCCUUCAUAUCCCAAAUGUUGCUGUUGAUGCUGAUCGUGAUAUUGAUGUUGUUGAUGAAUCUGCUCCCAAUUCUUUGGAAUUUGAAACUCCAUUUCGUUUUUUCUAUCAACGUGGCGAAAAUUUCUACGGUCCACAGUGGGGACCACACUGGAAUCCAAAUAGCUACUAUUUUCGUAACCGAAACCACUAACAGGGUUCUUCGCGUUCAAGAGAUUGUUCCACCGAAACUUCAUCGACGCCGAUUCCGAUUCUCCACCACGCGCCGCUGCCAUGCUCUCACUAUACUGUGCCAUUGAUCGGUCCACUUCGCUGUAACGACCUGGAUAGCCAUCACGCGCUGCUACAUUGUUUGAUCGGUUUACUUCAUUGUAACGGUUUCGUUCAUCAUCCCGUUCGGGUAUUCGGAGCGGGUUAAUGUCCCUGGACCGCGACCGAACCGGUUGGGGUAAGCGAGAACCGGGUCGAUGGGUUGGGUUGGGCGAGUUUCUGUUUCUCCGAGGGUGACGAUAGUUGCGGUGGUUCCUCAUGGCUACUACCACAAAACGGUGCGUUUAAGAUGUUAGUGUUAGAAUCAGAAACGCCAUGGGUGUGAAAACCCUAACCGUACAUAGCAGUAGUAAUAGUAAUAGUACAAGUUCAGUUUGGGGAGGAAGAAGGAAUGUAGUUGAAACGAUGUCGUAUUGGAAUUUUGAAAAGUGUGUAACGAAGCCCG
Molecule: long non-coding RNA, 750 nt
Filed under: Lupinus mutabilis
Lineage: Eukaryota; Viridiplantae; Streptophyta; Magnoliopsida; Fabales; Fabaceae
Description: partial ncRNA
Source: RNAcentral